This 441-nucleotide ribosomal RNA is filed under the name uncultured bacterium. RNAcentral's name for it is "partial 16S ribosomal RNA". It matches the Rfam family "Bacterial small subunit ribosomal RNA", at positions 338 to 795 of the family's 1533-position model. The record is from RNAcentral.
CCUACGGGAGGCUGCAGUAGGGAAUUUUGCGCAAUGGGCGAAAGCCUGACGCAGCAACGCCGCGUGAUUGAUUAAGCGCUUCGGGGUGUAAAGAUCUGUCAGUAGGGACGAAAAUUGCCGUUACCCACAGAGGAGCCACCGGCUAACUCCGUGCCAGCAGCCGCGGUAAUACGGAGGGUGCAACGGUUGUCCGGAAUCAUUGGGGGUAAAGAGUGCGUAGGUGGCAUAGUAAGUCUGGUGUUAAAGGCAGAAGCGCAACUUCUGUUCGGCACUGGAUACUGGUAAGCUGGAGUGCGGUAGGGGUAAGGGGAAUUCCUGGUGUAGCGGUGAAAUGCGUAGAUAUCAGGAGGAACAUCGGUGGCGUAGGCGCUUUACUGGACCGUGAUUGACGCUGAGGAACGAAGGCCGGGGUAGCAAAUGGGAUUAGAUACCCGGGUAGUC